Molecule: ribosomal RNA, 492 nt
Filed under: uncultured bacterium
Lineage: Bacteria
Description: partial 16S ribosomal RNA
Rfam family: Bacterial small subunit ribosomal RNA
Source: RNAcentral
AGUGAACGCUGGCGGUAGGCCUAACACAUGCCAGUCGAACGGCAGCACAGUAAGAGCUUGCUCUUACGGGUGGCGAGUGGCGGACGGGUGAGGAAUACAUCGGAAUCUACUUUUUCGUGGGGGAUAACGUAGGGAAACUUACGCUAAUACCGCAUACGACCUACGGGUGAAAGCAGGGGAUCUUCGGACCUUGCGCGAUUGAAUGAGCCGAUUUCGGAUUAGCUAGUUGGCGGGGUAAAGGCCCACCAAGGCGACGAUCCGUAGCUGGUCUGAGAGGAUGAUCAGCCACACUGGAACUGAGACACGGUCCAGACUCCUACGGGAGGCAGCAGUGGGGAAUAUUGGACAAUGGGCGCAAGCCUGAUCCAGCCAUACCGCGUGGGUGAAGAAGGCCUUCGGGUUGUAAAGCCCUUUUGUUGGGAAAGAAAAGCAGCAGGUUAAUACCCCGCUGUUCUGACGGUACCCAAAGAAUAAGCACCGGCUAACUUCGUG